CAUUUAGAAAUUCAUUGUAGAAUAAAGGAUAUAUAAAAAAUACUUGUAAUUAUACAUAAGUAUACAAAGAAACUAUUAUGGAAUUGAAUGCUAUGUAUCAAAGAGAAUAAUUUAUAAAAAAAAUAAGAUUUAUUUUAAUUAUAUAAACUCUAAGAGAAAUUAAAUACUAAACGAAGUGAAUUGAAAUAUCUUAGUAACUUUAGGAAAACAAAUCAAAAGAGAUUCUAUGAAUAGCGUGAGUGAAAGUAGAGCAGCCUAAAAAGUAAAACGGUACAAAACUGUUUGAAUAAAAUGGGGAACCUUCCUCAAAGGCUAAAUAUGGUACAUAAGCAAUAGUGAAAAGUACCAUGAGGGAACUAAGUGAAAAUAGUAGUUUUAUAAGCAGUUCGAAAAAAAGAACGUACCUUUUGCAUAAUGGGUCACCAAGUUAACAUUAGAUGCGAGCAUACGCGUAGUUAAACCGAACGUUAAAAUAACGAAAUAGUGUCUAAAGUUAGACCCGAAGCACGGUGAUUUUACCAUAGUCAGGAUUAUAAAAGUCCGAACGGGUGAUUGUUGCAAAAAUCUCCGAGGAACUGUGGUAGGUGUAGUGAAAGACAACACUGACUGUGAUAGCUGGUUUUCUGCGAAACCUAUAAUAGUAGGCAAUUUAAGAAAAUAUCUUAGCAGGUACAUAAUUUAAUCUCAGACAAGACGUGUAAACGUUUUAUUUUGUACAAAUUGGGGGAUCAUGAAGAUCUUAUCAGUGAGUAUGUAGAUUCGAAAUGGCAAAGAUAUCCUCUUGAAUUAUCAGACAUAGAAUGAUAAGGUUGUAUGUCAAAAGGGAAACAGCCCAGAACAAGAGUUAAGGUUCCUAAAUUAUUAGUUAAGUGAAAUUAAGAAAGUUUUUAUUAAAGUCGACAAGGAAAUAGGCUUAGAAGCAGCCAUAAUUUUAUGACCUCGUAACAGAGCGCUUGUUAAGUUAUAAAAGCAUCGAAAAUUUAACGGAUCUAAACAAUAUACCGAAACCUUGUCUUUUUACAUAACAUAUGUUCACUUAUAGAUAAUAAAUCUUGAUAUGUUCUAUAUCCAUAUAUAAGAAUAUGUUAUUAUGUAGGCUUAAGAAGCAUAUAUAUAAAAGGUAAAAAUAGUUUAAUAUAAAUAGGUUGUAUAGAGUAAGUACAAGACUUGCAUACUUCGUAUGUAAACUUCUUUUUUCUUGUAACUAGAAAUGAUAGUAGUACAACUCUUUGUUACAAUAUUGUAACAAUAUUCUAAUAAUAUUGCAUUUAAUUAUACAGUAGUCUAACACUAUGUUAAUUAACUAUUUAUAGGGAACUAUCCUUAUAGUAAAAAGGGUAGCAGAACGUUGAGUGAAUAAUGAAUUUUAUUUUUUAAAUAGAAUUCUAAUAAUAUAACUCAAGUGAUAAUGGUGACAUGAGUAACUAAAAGAAAAUUUUCCGCCUUAAGCUUAUGGUUAGAGUUAAGUAACGGCCUCUAAGUUUAAUAUCUAAAGAUUUAAACGAUGAGAAAAUCUUUUUUACUAAAAACAACAUUUUAGUGUAAAAUGUGCAGGAAAAAUAGUAAAUAUAUUUGGAUAUCUGGUCAUACAGACUAGAAAACAAAUGAACAAUAACCGUACCUAGAUUCUAUUAAAAGUAAGCUAGUAGAGAAUACGAAGGCGUAAAUGAGCUAACAAUCAUAAAGGAACUCGGCAAAUUGACUACUGUACCUUCGGAAUAAGGAGGGCUCGUAUUUCUUGACCCAUAUCAAGAAAAAUGAAGAAGCAUAAAAUAAUGUUGUACGACUGUUUAAUUAAAACACAGCACUUUGCUGAAAGAUAAAAAAUCUAAGUAUAAAGUGUGAAAUCUGCUCAGUGCCGGCCGGUUAACAGAGAUUAUUAAAUAUCCUAAUAUUUGAAAUCAACGGAAACCCCGGUUAAAAGCGGCCUUAACGUGAGGGUCCUAAGGUAGCGAAAUGCCUUGGCCGUUAAAUGCGGUCUUGCAUGAAUGGUGUAACGAUACAACAGCUGUCUCUAUGAUUGACUCAGUGAAAUUGGAAUAGCUGUGCAGAUACAGCUUACCUCUAGUUAGACGAGAAGACCCUAUGCAGCUUUACUGUCACUAAUUAUGGAGUAUGAAAGAUAAUUUACAGAUUAUAAGGUAAUUGAUAAAAUGACUAUGAGAACCCUUUAUUUAUCUUUCAUAUGAAUGAAUUGGUUUAUAAUUAUAAACAAAUAUAAUUAAUGUUACUUUGUGCAUAUUGCAGUAAGUCGCAUAUAUAAAAGUUUAUAAUGGUAAAUCCACCUAGUUCAGUUUACUAUAUUUAUAUGUAUUUAUAUAAAUAUAUAUAUCUAAAUAGUAAAUGACCUUUGGUAAGGAACUAUCGCUAGGAGACAGUUUAUGUGGGGCACAGACCCUGUAAAGAGUAAACAGGAGUGUCUAAAAAUAUAUAAUUAUUUUGUUUGCUAUUUUAAAUAGAGGCGCAGUAGCGCACUAUUUUUAAUCAUAUUUAAUUACUUAUAUUUACAGUAUAUAUUUGUAAAUUUACAAUAUAUGCAUGUAAAUACUAGUAAGUGUUAUUUAGGUAAGAUUUUUACUAUGGAGAAAUUAGAGAUAAUAGAAGAUAUUAUGAAUUUUGCUUAUAAAAUUAGCGAAGCUAAUAUUUUCUAGCUAUAAUUAUUUUAUAGUUAUGUUUUCAAUAUCUAAAAAGCCGAACGGCUAAAUCUUGCCUUACUGUUUGAUUAUCGACAAAUCUUACAGUUGCGUAAGCAGGGCAUAGGAUCACAAGAUACAAUAAGGAUAGAUCUUGGAUUAUUGGAAAAGCUACGCUAGGGAUAACAGGCUAAUUUGCGCAAGAGUGUACAAAACAAGUGCGCGGUUUGGCACCUCGAUGUCGGCUUAACUUAUCCUCAUGGAUGCAGAAACUAUGUAGGGUGCGACUGUUCGUCGUUUAAAAAGUUACAUGAGCUGGGUUAAAUACGUCGUGAGACAGUAUGGUUUCUAUCUUCUAGGGGGAAUUAGAAUAAAAUAAGAACAAACUUUUGUACGCAAGGAACAAGAAGAAUCUAACUAAUAAAGUUAAAUUAUAGUUACUAACCUAUGGUUUACCUGUUGUUUAUGUACCCUAAUAUAUAUAUAGAAUAUAUAUAUGUAUUAUUAGGGGUGUUUCUCUUACUAAGAUAAAUUUAUAGCAUAAGCACGGCAGGAAAGCUAAGUUAGUUAAAGAUAAGUGCUGAAAGCAUGUAGGCACGAAACUUAUCUUAAGAUAUUUCUUAAAUAUACGUAAUAUACUAUUACGAAAUUUAUAGGCUUUAUCCGUAAGAAUCAGGAGAUUUUCAAGAAUAAAGUACUAAUUUAAUAAUUAACUAUGUAUAAAUAUAUC
RNAcentral lists this ribosomal RNA (3363 nucleotides) under Hirsutella minnesotensis. RNAcentral describes it as "LSU rRNA". It matches the Rfam family "Bacterial large subunit ribosomal RNA". Lineage: Eukaryota; Fungi; Ascomycota; Sordariomycetes; Hypocreales; Ophiocordycipitaceae. The record is from RNAcentral.